AAAUCUAAGAUAAAAGGUCAUACAAUUGUUACCACAAUAUUUAAUGUUAAUGUACCCUAUAACGCAUUACAAAGCAACACCAAUUACUAGUAACUUGUUUAACUCUAACUUUACAAUGAAUGAAAAUAUACAAAUAAUUGCACCAAUGAUCUUUACAGAUAAUGCCUUAUAUGACUGUCCAUAUUUACAAUACCAAUAAUCAUAAUAUCGUGUACAAUUCACAUACAUAAGAAUACUCAAAUGCUCUUUAAGCAUUCUAAAACAAUUGCUUAAAAGGGCUCAUCUUUCACAAAGAAAAGUCUGUGAUCACAAUUCCCUCUCCCCCUUGGGAGUUUUAUGUUAUCAUACACUUUUUCAAUUUGACCACUUUGUCAAUCAUCAUGAGGUAAACCCUGCCAUUUUUUAGUCAUAAUUUAAAAUCUCCU
Molecule: long non-coding RNA, 425 nt
Filed under: Mytilus galloprovincialis (Mediterranean mussel)
Lineage: Eukaryota; Metazoa; Mollusca; Bivalvia; Mytilida; Mytilidae
Source: RNAcentral